CGAGCAAGCCGGGCGAUCGCUGCUCCGCCUUAGCGCCCCGAUUCAGUCGGGGCCAGCAGGGGUGGGGGAGAGGAAAGUCCGAACUCCGCAGGGCAGUGUGCUCGCUAACAGCGAGGGUCGGAGGGGGAUGUCCGACAAGUCGGACCGUACGCCUCCGGCACGGAAAGUGCCACAGAAAACAUACCGCCCGUCAGCCGACGGGUAAGGGUGAAAAGGUGCGGUAAGAGCGCACCGCCCCGGUAGUGAUAUCGGGGGCAGGGAAAACCCCACACGGAGCAAGACCAAAUAGGAGAGGAGGAGUGGCCCGCUCCGCCAUAACUCUCGGGUAGGUCGCUUGAGCCCGACAGCAAUGUCGGGCCUAGAGGAAUGAUCGCCCCCCGAUCGUAUCGGGGACAGGAUUCGGCUUACAGGCUUGCUCGCGCA
Molecule: RNase P RNA, 423 nt
Filed under: Terriglobia bacterium
Lineage: Bacteria; Pseudomonadati; Acidobacteriota; Terriglobia
Description: RNase P RNA component class A
Rfam family: Bacterial RNase P class A
About the family: Ribonuclease P (RNase P) is a ubiquitous endoribonuclease, found in archaea, bacteria and eukarya as well as chloroplasts and mitochondria. Its best characterised activity is the generation of mature 5'-ends of tRNAs by cleaving the 5'-leader elements of precursor-tRNAs.
Source: RNAcentral